GGCCCGUUGGUCUAGCGGUUAGGACGCCUCCCUUUCACGGAGGAGACCAGGGGUUCGAUCCCCCUACGGGCUA
RNAcentral lists this transfer RNA (73 nucleotides) under Armatimonas rosea. It matches the Rfam family "tRNA". From Rfam's summary of the family: Transfer RNA (tRNA) molecules are approximately 80 nucleotides in length. The record is from Rfam by way of RNAcentral. Lineage: Bacteria; Bacillati; Armatimonadota; Armatimonadia; Armatimonadales; Armatimonadaceae.